Molecule: ribosomal RNA, 28 nt
Filed under: Sapho gloriosa
Lineage: Eukaryota; Metazoa; Arthropoda; Insecta; Odonata; Calopterygidae
Description: partial 28S ribosomal RNA
Source: RNAcentral
CAUCAAAGCGCCGACCUCAGAGCAAGUG